This 310-nucleotide ribosomal RNA is filed under the name uncultured bacterium. RNAcentral's name for it is "partial 16S ribosomal RNA". It matches the Rfam family "Bacterial small subunit ribosomal RNA", at positions 503 to 808 of the family's 1533-position model. The record is from RNAcentral.
AAGAGACAGCAGUAGCCGCGGUAAUACGAAGGGUGCAAGCGUUAAUCGGAAUUACUGGGCGUAAAGCGUGCGUAGGCGGUGAGUUAAGUCUGCUGUGAAAUCCCCGGGCUCAACCUGGGAAUGGCAGUGGAUACUGGCUCGCUAGAGUGUGUCAGAGGAUGGCGGAAUUCCCGGUGUAGCGGUGAAAUGCGUAGAGAUCGGGAGGAACACCAGUGGCGAAGGCGGCCAUCUGGGACAACACUGACGCUGAGGCACGAAAGCGUGGGGAGCAAACAGGAUUAGAUACCCCUGUAGUCCCUGUCUCUUUACA